AGGCUGGCCUUGAACUCACAGAGAUCCUCUGCCUCCCAAGUGCUAACAUUAAAGGUGUGUGCCUCCACCACUUGGCCAGCCACUCAGAUUCUUUUCAAUUGUGUCUGGUGGUCCUGUGGCUUUGAACCCAGAGCCUUGCCCAUGUAAAUGGCCUACCACUGAUAGACACCUGGGCAGAGUUCCAGUGUUUCCCUUUCUUUUUUUGAUUGAGAUGGUAUCUCACUAUGUAGCCCUAGCUGGCCUAGGGACUCUGAGACCAGUUUAACCUGGAGUUCAUCUACACUUCCAGCCCCACCUCACCCUGAUGGUGGAAUUAAAGGUAUGUGCCACACCACCAGGCCCCAAUGUUUUGCUGUUAGAAGACAGUUUAGAGUUUGAGCUGAAACCUUAUAACGCUACUGUGUCCGUGAGGCAACCGAGGCAAUGCUUGUGUUGUCCUGUCUUUGAGAAGGAUGUUUUCUGCUCCUUACUUGCUCCCUCCAUCCUCUGAGUAUCACAUCUAUAGUUUUCAGGUAUAUUGGAGUAAGGGAAAUGACACACCAACAGGUUCUUAUUUACAAAGGGGAAAUAUGUGUGUGUGUAUAUAUAUUCCAGGACCUCCAGGGCUACAUAUAGGAAGACCCUAUUUCAAAGAAAGAAAAAGUGUCUUUUCCUUCUAGUCUCAAAAUCCUUACAUACAUGGGUUUUCUUCUUUGGGUUGCUGCCUAUGAUGAAGCUUAGCACCCAAAGUGCUCGCUGUGGCCCCAAGCUCCUGAUAGGCUGCCUCAUCUCACUCAUGCAUCAAGCUGGGCAAUCCAUUGGGUGGCUCUCCUUGGAGACCGUGGUGAAGCACCCCCACAUUUUGAGGAUUUGAAAUGGUUGCCUGGAAAGCUUUCUUUCUCCAUCAUCUACAAAAUCGUCUCUGUCCUUGAUCUUGGGAAUUAGUUGCUAGUCCAUGUGGUCAACAGAAUAUUUGAGUCCAGACAUCAGUUUAAUCAGAGCAAAUCGGCCCAGAACCUUCCCAUUGCCAGACAGAGAGCCACACUUCAGGUCCUCUCUGCUAAAUAUCCCCAUAGCAUUGUGUGUGCAUGGGUAGCUGGAUAUCUCGAAUGGAAAUGUCUAGUGAGGUCUAGGGGAGGGAAGGGUCUUCUUGUAUGAGCUGAUUCAGACAUAUCUUUUUUUGGCAGGAAUCUGUAGAGACAUUCUUGGAACGGAAUUGUCUGAAGACACGCACCUGUUUGCAAGAUCGCUGCUCAGGUGUGGUGCAGUUGACCAGCAGUGAGGGUGUUGCUUGAGACCUGAGAAGCACAUCCACAGGAUCAAAGGCUGUGCCACCACCCCCUGGCCUAUGUGGCCUUCAAAGAGGGAGAAAAUACAGAUUUUUUUUUUUAAAGAUUGUCACAGCAUGCUUUGAGAAAAACGCCGAAUGUCCCAGACAGCAGCAGACCAGAAAACUUUAUUUUGCAGUUUAUCCUUAUAAGCAAUCAUGUGCCACAGGACACAUUUCUACAAUUAAUUAGUUUCUAACUCAUUAUGUAGCCAAAGAUGUCCUUGAGCUAAUCCUCCUGCCUCUUAUUUACUUCACCAGUAAAUUUAUUAGUGUAUUCACUGUACAAAGCCAUGGGCUAGGUUUUUUCAGAUACUUUAAUACAUGUAUAAAUUCUGUCUUCCACGUGCCGGAACACAAGACUGUAACUGACUCACCUUUUCAAAAGAUGACAUGCAGAGUUCAAGAGCAUCAAAUUCAACUUAGUAAAUGGUUUACACCCGAAUUGUUUAGAAAAGCUCAUGUUGUAGGCAUGGGAGGCCCUGAACUCAUGCCACGGCCUCCUAGAUUCUAGGCUUACAACCAGGAGCCACCAUGGCCCAGCUUGAAUCUGAUUCUUUUUUGUUGUUGUUUUGUUCUUCAAAGACAACUCACAAAGACUAGUAGAAAAUUUCAAGUUCAAAAGUUUUUAAUUAAAUAGUUCUCAUAUGUACUGUUCCACAUUGUGGAAAUAAAACUAUGCAGAACAUUGAACAUUUUGAACAAUGGCACAAACACAUGUAGAGUAUGUAUGGUGAAGCCCCUGUUGUACCUUACCAGGCAACAGGUUUAAAUUGCAAGUUUACAGGGAAAACUACAUCUGAACAUUUCAGGUACACCAGAAUUCCAAACUGCUACACAGUUGCAGUCCUGUGGUCAAUGCAGCUGCACUCUGUAUGCACCUAUUAGCAACUUAACCUAGAGAAGAAAAAUGAAUGUUAGUGCACACCUAAACACUGGGGUACUGCUAUUUUUAGUAAAAACAGUCCCAUAAGUUGCUGUAUUACACAACCAUUAAGAAUGGUUUAAAAGUCCAGCUUCCUUUCAUAUGGAAGUCAGGAUUUGGACUGCUCAGCAGGGAUGCCCUCAGACUUUACUUUCAGCCAGGUAUGCAGUGCACACCUGCCUCAGUGCCAACAUUCAGACCCAUGAGUACCCUGUGCACUGACUACUUGAGCAGUAAUCCCAAAUAUGAAACAGAUUUUCACCUUGGCAAAGGGUGCUUCCGUCAACCUUAUAAACAAUUUAUUAGGGCCGGCCACAGGGCUGAAUGAGUAAACAAAGUGACUAUCC
Long non-coding RNA from Peromyscus leucopus (white-footed mouse), 2578 nucleotides. RefSeq lists it as uncharacterized. The record is from RefSeq and is a predicted model, not a curated record. NCBI's taxonomy places the organism in Eukaryota, Metazoa, Chordata, Mammalia, Rodentia, Cricetidae. The transcript has 3 exons.